RNAcentral lists this ribosomal RNA (465 nucleotides) under uncultured Klebsiella sp. RNAcentral's name for it is "bacterial SSU rRNA". It matches the Rfam family "Bacterial small subunit ribosomal RNA", at positions 338 to 795 of the family's 1533-position model. Lineage: Bacteria; Pseudomonadati; Pseudomonadota; Gammaproteobacteria; Enterobacterales; Enterobacteriaceae. The record is from RNAcentral.
CCUACGGGUGGCUGCAGUGGGGAAUAUUGCACAAUGGGCGCAAGCCUGAUGCAGCCAUGCCGCGUGUGUGAAGAAGGCCUUCGGGUUGUAAAGCACUUUCAGCGGGGAGGAAGGCGGUGAGGUUAAUAACCUCAUCGAUUGACGUUACCCGCAGAAGAAGCACCGGCUAACUCCGUGCCAGCAGCCGCGGUAAUACGGAGGGUGCAAGCGUUAAUCGGAAUUACUGGGCGUAAAGCGCACGCAGGCGGUCUGUCAAGUCGGAUGUGAAAUCCCCGGGCUCAACCUGGGAACUGCAUUCGAAACUGGCAGGCUAGAGUCUUGUAGAGGGGGGUAGAAUUCCAGGUGUAGCGGUGAAAUGCGUAGAGAUCUGGAGGAAUACCGGUGGCGAAGGCGGCCCCCUGGACAAAGACUGACACUCAGGUGCGAAAGCGUGGGGAGCAAACAGGAUUAGAUACCCCAGUAGUC